CCAAAAGUAAAAGGGUUAGAAAAAUGUGAGUAAAUAUCUGAAUGGACAUCUGUCUAUUUUCUGUUAAAAAGAUGCUUUUCCCUAAAUUUUAGGGGUUGUAUUCAUCGGAAUGAUUCCCUCACCCUUUCCUAUAUAAGACCUCACCUUCCUUCACUCAUACACACAUUAAUUCCUGCAUUUUCAGAGAUAUUCCUCUUGACUGAUCUUUAUUCUAAUCUUCUCACAAUGAUUCUGGAAUUCUAGCCUUUCAAUUUCAUAAAAUAUCAGAAAACUCAAAAAAAAAAAUUAGUUAUCUUUGUUCAUUGGUAUUGGGCUUCAUCUUUCUGGUUUCUAAAGCUCAAUUUAACUUCAAUCCCUGUUAUUUGUUGAUGUGUUGUCGAGCUAUUGGUUGAAUCUGGGUUCUGACUACGUUUCUCCAAAAUCAGAGAUUUAUUUUCUCUUUUCUCUGUUGUGUUUUUACUGCUAUUAAGGUAUUGAUUUUACUCUUAUAGAUGUAACAGCGUUGGAAUGCCAUAAAUAUCAUCAGAUUUGCACCCAUGGAUUGACUACAUGCUUGAUAAAUAUUCUGUAAAGUAAUCUGGUCAUUUAUUUGCUUUCUUUGAAUAUCUUCUGUCAUGUCUAUUUGUGAGUAGAACUGGAUCUGAAAUUUCAACUAUAGUAGUAGUCUAAAUCUGAACAUAAUUGUUAAUGUUGUAGUCAUCAUGGAACCUUUUUUUUGGUUGCGUUAUUUUGAUCAGUUAAAAUGAAGUUAGAACUGAGAUUUUUAGGUUGGUUUGAAGCUGAAGAAACACCCAUAUCCAGCAGUAUAGUAGUGACUAAUGCCAUAUAAACUUGAUAUUUUGAAAAAAAGUCUAGUAAAGUUCAUUUGUGUAAUGAUGUAUGUAUGAUUAUGUUUGGGACUUGAAGUUUGUUUUUCUGCAUAACUGAUGUAAAAAAUGAGUUUUAAAAAUAGCCUGUAAUAACUCUUUUCAUUGAUAAUUGCAAAUGAGCACGGCGCCAAUGAAAUGCUGCUCAUAUUAGGCAUUUUCUCGACUAUUUGCAUCCUUGUAUAAAUUAAAAUACUCAUGUGAGUUUAUGAGGGAGACAUUUCCUUUCUUUUGUCAUUUGGGCUUCAGUUGAGCCCAAUUCUGGCAUGGCUCCAAGUUUUCUAGUUUAUGAGUUUCUUAAUGUUCAGAUUGAUUAUAAUUUAGUAUAGUAUCCUGAAUGGUUUCAUUUUCUGAAGAUAUGCCACAAUUAAUUACCUUUGAUUCAUAAGUUUUCAAUUGUGUCAAUACAUGGGAUUUGUGGUUGUAAUGAUGGGCUUGAUGGGCCAGCAAGCGCAAUUUCGCCUUUUCCAUUGAUAAACAGGGCAAUUGAGCUUCUUUAUGUUAGCUUCACCAAGAGCUUGGCCGGUUGAAACCUUCCAGGCCUAAACCUCGUGAGGAUUCGAUUAGGGGCCUCAUCUGGGCUAUAGUAACAAAGCCUAAUAGGUGUGAAAUUAACUUUAGGUUUCUUCCAUUAUCUUUUGUUGAAAAGCUUCUUAAAAUUGUUAAUAGUUUGGAUUUAUCCUGUCAUUGUUGAAUAGAAUUAAGGUCACAAUACUUAUUCUUAAAACGUUUCAUUUGAAGAGUUAUAUUUUUGAAGGGGUCCUUACUCAAUUUAGAUGAACGCUUCAAAUUUUUUUAUAAGAUGUCCAUAAUAUCUAGAUUUCAUACUUUAAACUUUGAACCUUAUAAAAUUAGAUAACUUUUUUUAAAAAAAAUAAAUAUUCGUAGCAAUGCUUUAGGCGCGUAAUUAAAUCAUCACGGCUAUGGGUACGGUUCUCGUGGCAUGAUCGUGAUACAUAAUCCCCAAUUCUGGUGUGCAUUUCAUGUGACCCGGCCAUAACUUCAAACAAUAAUAAUAAAAAUAAAUAUGUCGUAAAUCGCGGGUGCAUUUCAUGUGGCACGGUUUGCAAUGUGUACCAAAACAAUUAGUGUGCGACAUCACGGCUUAUUUAAAUAAACUCCAUAAUAAUUAAAAGCGGCUUAAAAGAUUAAAAAUGCACGAUAGUUUAAAACAUGUAACAACUCAUAUAAUUAGGCCAAUUAUUAAUAGUUGAGUGACCGUGCUAAAACCACGAAACUCGAGAGUGCUUCACACCUUUUCCCGGGGUAACAGAAUUCCUUACUCGGUCUGUGUUCGCAGACUUUAAACGAAGUCAAAAUUUCCUCGAUUUGGGAUUUAAAAUAAAUCAGUGACUUGGGACACCAUAAAUUAUUCCAGGUGGCGACUCUGGAAAAAUAAAUAAAUAAUACCAUUUUGAAUAAUGUCACUUCAAUUGAAAAAACUCCCGAUCCUCUAAGAAAAAGAAGGUGUGACAACAGCUUAAGAGUCCAUUUGGCCAAGCUGUCAAAAAUUACUUAUUUUGAAAAGUGCUUUUGAAAAUUAGCAAUUUGUGUUUGAUCAAUUUGUUUGAGAAGUACUUUUUGCAAAAUUUGAUAAGUAAAUUGUGUUUGGCCAAUCUUUUCAAAAACUACUUUUGAGCGCCAAACUACUAUAAAGUACAGUAAAAGUUUGUUUAUAAUUAGCGUUAUUUAAAAAGAGAAAUUUUAAAUUUUUAGUACAAAAUAAUUUAACUAAUUUUUAUUUUUAUUUUUAUGUAAUUAGAAUAUAAAAUGUAAAGUAAUAUGUAUUAUAGAUUUUAAUCAAUAUAAAAUAUAAGUAUGUAAAAGCAAUAAUAUUGGUAGGAACAUAUAUGCUUACAAGUUACAUGUAUGAAAAACACUAUUACUUCUUGAGAAAAUAACAAACUUGGUAGUAUUGCAUUAUGUCAAUUAUAUUAUAUGCAUGCACGCAAAAAAAGUACAAAUAAAAUACAAACUGGAGAUCAUAUAAUAUUGGUAUACUGUAAAAGAAAAAAAAUUAUACAUUAUAAAGAAAGUGCUUGAAUCUGGCGAUUAGCCUUAUUAUUUCAAAGAGUAAUAGGAGACGAAGAAAAGAAGAAACUACCGAAUGAGAAAAGAAGAGAUCUACUUAUAUUAGAGAGAUUAUUCAAAGUUGGAAUAAGAGAAAAAGAAUAAAAAUACGGUAAAAAUUGAAACAAGAAGAAAAGACGGUAGAGAAUAAAAAAAAGUAAAGGUUAAAUUAAUAAGGGAUAAUUUAGGAAAUAUAAUUUUGUGGUAAGGAUAUUUUUGUCUUGAAAACAUUAAUUUUCUGCUUCUGCUUCUUGAAAAAAAUUAGAAUUUGUAGCUUCUUCUCAAAAGUAGAAAAAUUAUUUGUGCUGUUAUUUGACAUGUCAAUCUGACUUCUUCAACUUAUCCUUUUAUGUGUCUUCAUUUGACUGGACACAAUAUGUAAAAAUGUGAAAAGCAUAUCUUACGCCAAAAGUGUGCAUACAUAUCAAAAAUACCAUUUGAAUCUUCUAGUUCUAAACAUGUCAUAUCAUUUUCAUAUUAGAGUGUCGUAAGAGUAAAAUGGGAGCAUUGGAGUUAAAAAUUUACUUAAUAAAGAAAGAUAACAUUCUUUCGGAUACAUAUUUAAAAGGAAAAAAAGGGGACAAAAACUGGAACAGAUGGGGUACUACUUUUUGAUAAUAUACAAGAACAUCACUGACAUGACAAUUCAUAAUCUCAUAUCGACAGUGUUUCACAUAACAAUUGUGCCCUGAGCCCUGUAGACGAAAGGUGCACACUCUAUCAAUUAUGGCGUGGACUACCAGGCAUCACAGUACAAAAACAUGGAGAAAACAAGAUCCUAACAUUGG
This 3724-nucleotide long non-coding RNA is filed under the name Nicotiana tabacum (common tobacco). Its description in RNAcentral is "long non-coding RNA (NTAB_LNC006509)". Lineage: Eukaryota; Viridiplantae; Streptophyta; Magnoliopsida; Solanales; Solanaceae. The record is from RNAcentral.